Molecule: ribosomal RNA, 495 nt
Filed under: uncultured bacterium
Lineage: Bacteria
Description: partial 16S ribosomal RNA
Rfam family: Bacterial small subunit ribosomal RNA
Source: RNAcentral
GAUGAACGCUGGCGGCGUGCUUAACACAUGCAAGUCGAACGAAGCACCUCUCCCGAAGAUUGACACAGCUUGCUGUAGAUUGAUUCAUUUGAGGUGACUGAGUGGCGGACGGGUGAGUAACGCGUGGGUAACCUGCCUCAUAGAGGGGGACAACAGUUGGAAACGACUGCUAAUACCGCAUAGUAAGACGUAUUCGCAUGUUUUCUUCUUGAAAGAUUUAUCGCUAUGAGAUGGACCCGCGUCUGAUUAGCUAGUUGGUAAGGUAACGGCUUACCAAGGCGACGAUCAGGAGCCGGCUUGAGAGAGUGAACGGCUACAUUGGGACUGAGACACGGCCCAAACUCCUACGGGAGGCAGCAGUGGGGAAUAUUGCACAAUGGGGGAAAACCUGAUGCAGCGACGCCGGGUGAGUGAAGAAGUAUUUCGGUAUGUAAAGCUCUAUCAGCAGGGAAGAUAAUGACGGUACCUGACUAAGAAGCCCCGGCUAACUACGUG